AUGAACGCUGGCGGCGUGCCUAAUACAUGCCAGUCGAGCGAACAGAUAAGGAGCUUGCUCCUUUGACGUUAGCGGCGGACGGGUGAGUAACACGUGGGUAACCUACCUAUAAGACUGGAAUAACUCCGGGAAACCGGGGCUAAUGCCGGAUAACAUGUUGAACCGCAUGGUUCUACAGUGAAAGGCGGCUUUGCUGUCACUUAUAGAUGGACCCGCGCCGUAUUAGCUAGUUGGUGAGGUAACGGCUCACCAAGGCAACGAUACGUAGCCGACCUGAGAGGGUGAUCGGCCACACUGGAACUGAGACACGGUCCAGACUCCUACGGGAGGCAGCAGUAGGGAAUCUUCCGCAAUGGGCGAAAGCCUGACGGAGCAACGCCGCGUGAGUGAUGAAGGUCUUCGGAUCGUAAAACUCUGUUAUUAGGGAAGAACAAAUGCGUAAGUAACUGUGCGCGUCUUGACGGUACCUAAUCAGAAAGCCACGGCUAACUACGUG
RNAcentral lists this ribosomal RNA (496 nucleotides) under uncultured bacterium. RNAcentral describes it as "partial 16S ribosomal RNA". It matches the Rfam family "Bacterial small subunit ribosomal RNA", at positions 29 to 507 of the family's 1533-position model. The record is from RNAcentral.